Molecule: ribosomal RNA, 662 nt
Filed under: uncultured bacterium
Lineage: Bacteria
Description: bacterial SSU rRNA
Rfam family: Bacterial small subunit ribosomal RNA
Source: RNAcentral
AACGCUGGCGGCGUGCUUAACACAUGCAAGUCGAACGAAGCACCCUGAUUUGAUUCUUCGGAUGAAGAUCUUGGUGACUGAGUGGCGGACGGGUGAGUAACGCGUGGGUAACCUGCCUCAUACAGGGGGAUAACAGUUAGAAAUGACUGCUAAUACCGCAUAAGACCACAGCACCGCAUGGUGCAGGGGUAAAAACUCCGGUGGUAUGAGAUGGACCCGCGUCUGAUUAGGUAGUUGGUGGGGUAACGGCCUACCAAGCCGACGAUCAGUAGCCGACCUGAGAGGGUGACCGGCCACAUUGGGACUGAGACACGGCCCAAACUCCUACGGGAGGCAGCAGUGGGGAAUAUUGCACAAUGGGGGAAACCCUGAUGCAGGACGCCGCGUGAGCGAUGAAGUAUUCGGUAUGUAAGCUCUAUCAGCAGGAAAAAUGACGGUACCUGAUAGAAGCACCGGCUAAUACGUGCCACACCGCGGUAUACGUAUGGUGCAAGCGUUAUCCGGAUUUACUGGGUGUAAGGGAGCGUAGACGGAUGGCAGUUGAUGUGAAACCCGGGGCUCGACCCCGGGACUGCAUUGGAGACUGUCAUCUAGAGUACCGGAAGGUGGCGGAUUCCUAGUGUAGCGGCGAGAUGCGUAAUUUGGAGACGCCAUGCGAGGCG